RNAcentral lists this ribosomal RNA (279 nucleotides) under uncultured bacterium. RNAcentral describes it as "partial 16S ribosomal RNA". It matches the Rfam family "Bacterial small subunit ribosomal RNA", at positions 506 to 784 of the family's 1533-position model. The record is from RNAcentral.
UGCCAGCCGCCGCGGUAAUACGAAGGGACCUAGCGUAGUUCGGAAUUACAGGGCUUAAAGAGUGCGUAGGUGGUUGAAAUAGUUGGUGGUGAAAUCCCAGAGCUUAACUCUGGAACUGCCGUCAAAACUUUUCAGCUAGAGUAUGAUAGAGGAAAGCAGAAUUUCUAGUGUAGAGGUGAAAUUCGUAGAUAUUAGAAAGAAUACCAAAUGCGAAGGCAGCUUUCUGGAUCAUUACUGACACUGAGGAACGAAAGCAUGGGUAGCGAAGAGGAUUAGAUA